CGUAGGGGGCGAGCGUUGUCCGGAUUCAUUGGGCGUAAAGAGCUCGUAGGCGGUUCGGUAAGUCGGCUGUGAAAUCUCCACGCUCAACGUGGAGGGGUCAGUCGAAACUGCCGUGACUCGAGUCCGGUAGAGGAGUGUGGAAUUCCCGGUGUAGCGGUGAAAUGCGCAGAGAUCGGGAGGAACACCCGUAGCGAAGGCGGCACUCUGGGCCGGUACUGACGCUGAGGAGCGAAAGCGUGGGGAGCAAACAGGAUUAGAUACCCUGGUAGUCCACGCCGUAAACGUUGGGCACUAGGUGUGGGGCUCUAUCGACGGGUUCCGUGCCGUAGCUAACGCAUUAAGUGCCCCGCCUGGGGAGUACGGCCGCAAGGCUA
Molecule: ribosomal RNA, 374 nt
Filed under: uncultured organism
Description: bacterial SSU rRNA
Rfam family: Bacterial small subunit ribosomal RNA
Source: RNAcentral